AUGGGGUGACUGCGUACCUUUUGUAUAAUGGGUCAGCGACUUAUAUUCUGUAGCAAGGUUAACCGUAUAGGGGAGCCGUAGGGAAACCGAGUCUUAACUGGGCGAAUGAGUUGCAGGGUAUAGACCCGAAACCCGGUGAUCUAUCCAUGGGCAGGUUGAAGGUUGGGUAACACUAACUGGAGGACCGAACCGACUAAUGUUGAAAAAUUAGCGGAUGACUUGUGGAUGGGGGUGAAAGGCCAAUCAAACCGGGAGAUAGCUGGUUCUCCCCGAAAGCUAUUUAGGUAGCGCCUCGUGAAUUCAUCUUCGGGGGUAGAGCACUGUUUCGACUAGGGGGUCAUCCCGACUUACCAACUCGAUGCAAACUGCGAAUACCGAAGAAUGUUAUCACGGGAGACACACGGCGGGUGCUAACGUCCGUCGUGAAGAGGGAAACAACCCAGACCGCCAGCUAAGGUCCCAAAGUCAUGGUUAAGUGGGAAACGAAGUGGGAAGGCUCAGACAGCCAGGAUGUUGGCUUAGAAGCAGCCAUCAUUUAAAGAAAGCGUAAUAGCUCACUGGUCGAGUCGGCCCGCGCGGAAGAUGUAACGGGGCUAAACCAUGCACCGAAGCUGCGGCAGCGACUCAAAGUGUUGUUGGGUAGGGGAGCGAUCUGUAAGCCUGCGA
This 666-nucleotide ribosomal RNA is filed under the name Proteus mirabilis. RNAcentral describes it as "partial 23S ribosomal RNA". It matches the Rfam family "Bacterial large subunit ribosomal RNA", at positions 588 to 1253 of the family's 2925-position model. Lineage: Bacteria; Pseudomonadati; Pseudomonadota; Gammaproteobacteria; Enterobacterales; Morganellaceae. The record is from RNAcentral.